Oryzias latipes (Japanese medaka) is the source of this 570-nucleotide non-coding RNA. The record is from RefSeq and is a predicted model, not a curated record. Lineage: Eukaryota; Metazoa; Chordata; Actinopteri; Beloniformes; Adrianichthyidae.
CUCACAUGUUUGUGUAACCCCUUGGCAUCAGAGAAGCCAUCAGACUAACUGUGAGCACCUGGCCCCGCCCUUAUUGUGAGAGGCCUGGUGUGUAUAUAAGUUCUUGGUCAGCUGGUGCACUUCCUACUUGCUGCUUGCUACUUCCUGCUUCCUGUUUCCUGCUUCCUGUUGGCUGCUUCUUGCUCUCAGCUGUUGCUGCUGCUGUGGCCACACCAGGACGCCUAAAACAUAUUACGAAUAAUACGAACAAAUACGAACAUAUUUGGACACCUCAGCAUUUACCUUUGGACACUAACUAACCCCAAAGAGACCUGCUCAUUGGUCAGGUUUUUGUUAUGUAUUCUUUGAUCUACAACUUGAUGGCGAGCUACCCAAAUCUGAGAUCCUGAUACUUCCACCCUCAAUAACAACUCCUCACCUGCAGCAAACCUCAACUACAUCCCAACCAAUAGACUUUUGGAAACCUCUCAAUAGGACUCAGACCCAUAUCCCGGUUCCUUUUGUUGUUGUUCUUUUGUAUUGUUUAAAUGUCUAUUUUCUGUUAAUACAAUCGAUUGCCUUUUACUUUCA